CCUUUUGGGAGAGAUCGGUCAUGCACCGACGCCGAAGGCGCAACCCGUCCGGAAUCGCUCAGGCAAAUGGACCAUGAGG
RNAcentral lists this non-coding RNA (79 nucleotides) under uncultured Cycloclasticus sp. RNAcentral's name for it is "Glycine riboswitch". It matches the Rfam family "Glycine riboswitch aptamer", at positions 6 to 89 of the family's 94-position model. From Rfam's summary of the family: This family represents the bacterial glycine riboswitch. Glycine riboswitches usually consist of two metabolite-binding aptamers domains with similar structures in tandem. Lineage: Bacteria; Pseudomonadati; Pseudomonadota; Gammaproteobacteria; Thiotrichales; Piscirickettsiaceae. The record is from RNAcentral.